RNAcentral lists this ribosomal RNA (585 nucleotides) under Hanseniaspora uvarum. RNAcentral describes it as "partial large subunit ribosomal RNA". It matches the Rfam family "Eukaryotic large subunit ribosomal RNA", at positions 65 to 668 of the family's 3401-position model. Lineage: Eukaryota; Fungi; Ascomycota; Saccharomycetes; Saccharomycodales; Saccharomycodaceae. The record is from RNAcentral.
CCCUGGGAUACUUAGUACGGCGAGUGAAGCGGUAAAAGCUCAAAUUUGAAAUCUGGUACUUUCAGUGCCCGAGUUGUAAUUUGUAGAAUUUGUCUUUGAUUAGGUCCUUGUCUAUGUUCCUUGGAACAGGACGUCAUAGAGGGUGAGAAUCCCGUUUGGCGAGGAUACCUUUUCUCUGUAAGACUUUUUCGAAGAGUCGAGUUGUUUGGGAAUGCAGCUCAAAGUGGGUGGUAAAUUCCAUCUAAAGCUAAAUAUUGGCGAGAGACCGAUAGCGAACAAGUACAGUGAUGGAAAGAUGAAAAGAACUUUGAAAAGAGAGUGAAAAAGUACGUGAAAUUGUUGAAAGGGAAGGGCAUUUGAUCAGACAUGGUGUUUUUUGCAUGCACUCGCCUCUCGUGGGCUUGGGCCUCUCAAAAAUUUCACUGGGCCAACAUCAAUUCUGGCAGCAGGAUAAAUCAUUAAGAAUGUAGCUACUUCGGUAGUGUUAUAGCUUUUUGGAAUACUGUUAGCCGGGAUUGAGGACUGCGCUUCGGCAAGGAUGUUGGCAUAAUGGUUAAAUGCCGCCCGUCUUGACCCCCCGGACCA